Molecule: long non-coding RNA, 648 nt
Organism: Rhea pennata
Lineage: Eukaryota; Metazoa; Chordata; Aves; Rheiformes; Rheidae
Exons: 13
Source: RefSeq, a predicted model, not a curated record
GCGCGGCGGCGCGGAGAGCGGGGCGUGCGGAUAAGAUGCCUCAGGUAAACUCCUCCCUCUUCUGUGGCUCAAAACAGAUCUGCCACCAAAGAUGGAGGCUUGCUGCUACUUCACGAGGAUUCGAAUCGUGUACUUGAAGGCUUACAAAAGAAAGAUUGCCUGGCACUGGAAGAUGAAGCAUUAAGCUGUCCAAGGCUGCUCUGGACAGAAAGCUGUGGGAUGUCUAUGUCUAGUGCAAGAAACUGUUUCAACUGUUGUUGAUGAAGAAAAGGCAUUUCUAACUGCAGGCUUUCAAAGUGCUUCUAAUCAUGACGGCCAGUGUUGUGGAGCUGUUAAGCAAUGCAGAUGGUAGCAUACCAGCAAAUAUUUGAUAAUGGAACUGCCAGACACUUCAUAGCAGUCUGCUUGUACAUGGGUGGUGCCCAUGGGGAAUUGGUGUUAAGCAAGACUAGCUUCUGCCUGAGGAAAGGACUGUUCUGUCUGCAACUUUAUUAGGUUGGGAGGCAGCUUUGAAACUGCUAUGAGGAACAAAAAAGGUGGAAGAUUGCAGACCAAGGGUUUACACUUCAUGAACAGCUGUAAAAUGCCGUGGCUUUGUGGUGAUAAUAUCUGAUACUGAUUAGAGCCAAUAAAAUCUUGUAAACUCUU